AAUUAGGUGCCACUAGGCACCAUAUCAGUGUAACAGUGAAAAAAUG
Molecule: non-coding RNA, 46 nt
Organism: Nelumbo nucifera (sacred lotus)
Lineage: Eukaryota; Viridiplantae; Streptophyta; Magnoliopsida; Proteales; Nelumbonaceae
Source: Rfam